Non-coding RNA from Xyrichtys novacula (pearly razorfish), 8642 nucleotides. The record is from the annotation of a GenBank genome assembly. Lineage: Eukaryota; Metazoa; Chordata; Actinopteri; Labriformes; Labridae.
CUAAACAAUUGCUGUCAGACAUAAUAAAGAGACUCUAAAGGUGCAAUAGAGUCAUGCGUUCUUCAUAUUUAAUUUAAACGUGCACCUUAACAAAAAUAUGUGAGUGGUCUAUGCAUUGUGUUCUGGGCUUUAACAUCUAAUUGCCUAUGGGUAAGUGUGUUUGUCUGUGUCUUUGCAUGUAAUAUUUGAAGUUUAAUUUUUUGCACAAGGUUGGGUUGUUACAGGAGUGGACUGAGUACAUCUAGCUGAAUAAAAGUAUGACUCUUGUGCUAGGUUUUCACCAACUCAAAUGAGUCUGGGCUUAGAUUGAGUUGAGGCGGAUUUACCAGCAGAUGGCAGCACACAUCCAGUUGCUGUUAACAUGGAAACAGACAGAUACUGAGAAGAGGUGACCAAACUGUCAAGCUGAAUUGCCAUUAAUUAACAUAGUCUGGGUAAGUAAACAAGUGCAUCUACAUUUCAAAAUGACCACAACUAUACAGGAGUUGAGAUAGAUAUUAAAUUUGUCAGUAAACAUUAUAUGCUCUACUUUCAGCCAGUUUAAAGUGUCCAUCUUUAUUAACAUCAUGGGUUGACUACUGGUGACAAUGAAAAACACAACAUUCUGAGCCAGGCUGGUGGUAAUUUGUUAUCCUUCAACAAGUACUCCAGUUUUCCUGGGACCAACCAGGAGUGUGUGUGUUUAACAUGUGUACCGGCAUUCACUAAUGUGGCAAACAUGCAGGUCAUUUCCUUUUUAAAGAAAUAAAAGGCGGUAGUGCCUGAGGCUACACUCUGAUUUCACUGAAACCGGACAUGGAAACUGUGACAGUGUGUGUUUGUGUGUGCCUGGGAGAAUAAAGAGGUGGCUGAGGGGGCUCUAUUAGCCGGUAAAGACCUACGAGACCACAAAAGACCAGAUAAAGCCAGUUUUCUCUUCUAUGACAAAACCAGUCCCAUUAAUUUGGCUCAUGAUAAGACUAGAGAGACCACAUCCACCUGCUACAAAGAAUGCUAAUGAUGCAACUUUUACUACAAAAAUGACUGAUUACAACACAUUUUCUACUGAACACUGUCAUAAUGAACAAUAUCAGAUAACACUUCAGAUUGUGAGUUUGGAGCUGGUUGAAAUAAACUUGAAAUGAAUAAUAAUGUGAACUGUACGUUUUCUGCUAAAUUUGCUAAUAAGAGGCAACUAUCACGAUAAAUGAAGGAAAGAUAUUUCAACUUCAAGAAUUCAAUAUUUCAACUGCCCACAAAUAGCCAAAAAGAUCAGCAACUCCUGAUUCAACAGAAAUACAAAGUAUUUUUUCUAUUAAAAUUGAUUAUAAAUUAAAAUAUAUAAGAAACUAAUAAUAAGAAAGGAAUGACUCAUCCUUUCGCACCAGCCAUCUGUAAAUUCAUUUUUUUGUUGUUUGUUUUUGUGCUGCUAAAUGUGUGCAAACAAGUGACUUAUGCUCUUUCACUACCGUAGCAUAUCACAUUGUGGCCCCCUUACAACAGUGUAGUUCCGACAUGUGUACCAACACAUGCAGCCUCACAUGGUGAAAAACAUGUGCCCUGCUGAGAUCUGAGCUUUGUGCCCUUUGAAACUCUCACUUUCAACUCACUGCAUGAAGCAAAGGAUGCCCUGCUGGUGAAAAUAUGUAGUAUUGUAGCUAUCUGGCGAUAAUAAUUCUCUGAUUUAGUCAAUUACAGUUAUGAUCACAGAGGAAGGAAGUGAUUCACUAAGCUUCCAGCAGAUUAGCAAAUCUGUAUUGCUCAUCAAAACACCUUUUUUUCCACUGUGUUUUGCAGAGCAGAAAAUAAUUAUCAAGCACAUCACAGAUACAGAGAUGGUGUGGGAGGAAAUGUGUUAUGGGGGAUUUGUCAAACGGAAUCAGUCUGUAGUCACAGCUGCAUCACAUGUCUUCUGAUUUAUUCUUCCUGACUGUCAGCUCACUGUUGCAAUAUAAAUAUAAACCAGAGGGAAACAAGAGUGCUAAGUCAGUUGAUAGUAUGGUUAAAUUGUUGUUUACUGAUUUCUAAACAGUAAUUUAACAAUUUUCUCAAUAACUGCAAGAGGCUGCAUAAUUUUAAAGAGUUUUAGUUUUAAGUUGUAGCAUGGCAUAAAUUGACAACUUAUUUUUGUCUUAACAGCUUUUAAUUAACAGACUGUUGCUAAAUACUGGGAAAUUGGACUGGUUUCAUUUUCCUCCUCUAUCAUUACUAUUGGUAACUGUUGAAUAAGUCUUGCUAAAAGCUGAGAAGAGUAUUGAAAAUGAACUAAUAGCCAGUAUGACCAUGACUAUCCAGAUGAAGUCUAAGGUUGACGCAAAGUUGCUAAACGUUUAUAGAUGUAAUCUGAAGUAAGAUGAAAAAAGAAAAAGAAACUCAUGUGGACACACAUUAAGGCUGUGCAUGUGGUUGAUCUCAUUUAUCUUGGCUUGAUUUUCAUUUUUGCAAAGGUAAGGCAAGUUUAUUUAUAUUGCAACAUUCAUACACAUGGUAAUUCAAAGUGCUUUACAGAUGCUAGCAGAAACUUUGACUUGCAUCAAAAACUUUCCUCCCCAAAAUAGAAAAAAAAUUAUCGCAGCCAAGAUUUAGUUAGGCUGGGUUAGGGUUGAAGGAUUUUAGGAAAAGAUCGAAUUGCGAUUUUUUUGGCAGAAAUUGCAAUUUCAAUUCGAUUCAGGAUUUUCUUUAAAGCAAGCUUCAACAUUCACAAUGUGUACAGUAACAUUUACAAAUCAAAACAUAAAAAGCCUUUACUUUAAUUCAAGAAUGAAAACUAAAGGUAAGAAUUGUGGAUGGAAAGCCAAUCUUCACAUUUAAAGACAAUUGAGUCAUCCCAUGUGGUCAUGUGCUAAAGACACUACCUACACCACAAAGACUUGGUGGUUUCACCAGAAGAGAGCAUAAGUUCAUAUUCUCUUGCAGCUUUGUCAAUUGGUUUAGACUAGAAUUGCAGCUGAUUAUGUUGUAAACCUGCUCAUGUGGCACUAUAGGCCUUGUUAUAGAGAAGUGGGCUAUGAUGUUGUCAAAUAUUUCAAUAAAUGUUAAAUAAGUAGUUUUGUAUUGAAUUGGUCUAACUUUUAUAUAGCAUUACUGUUUAAGGUUAAAAUGAUGUGUUUUACUUCAAUAAUCUAUGGCACAACUUAUCCCAAUGUAUUCUCUUCAAAGGCACAUUUUACCUCGCACUACGGUUAAUCUAAAACUAUAUUUGUCAACCAGUUUGUUUAAGCGAUUGUUCCCAUGGAUGCACCACAUCCUUAAUUAAAUGUACAUAUUUUAGUUAGCGGUAUUACAGUCAUCCCUUUGCUUUGAGGAUGCCAAGUAAAAACUGGCACAACUCACCCCACUCUCCCCUAUUGUGUCAUAGCAGUCGUUAUCUCCCGGUGUCUCCGGCUGCUCUUGUUUUAUGGGCUUACACUGGCAAAAGAUGUUGUAAACAAUGGGCCUGAGACUCAUGUUUACUAGACUUUACACCGGACCUUUUCGUCGUGCAGUCCUCAUGUAAGCGCCGUGGUGGUUUCUCAAGUGCCGGUAAAUUCGUUGUGUUUCCGCUAAAUGUAGCAACUUUAGCGCGACAUGUUUUGCACAGCAGCCUACCUGUUUCUGGUGCACGUCUGCAGCCUCAAAUCCAAAAGACAUCCCAGAUAAUGGCCACCACUUUUCUUGGGGAUUACAUCACCUAAUCCGUUUGUGUUGUCGCUGAAGCCAUUUGUCAAAAACCGUUCACCUUUCAAACCAGGAGAGCAGGAUACUGAUUGGUUAAGACCUGUCCAGGAGUAGCAUAUGCCGCUUCUGAUUGGUGCGUUUGAAAGGACGGUGGGAAGACGGUGUGUAUAUCUAACAUAGUUGACACAGAUCCUAAGUCAGUCAUGAGCGCAGCAAAAACAAGUAUCAAAAAAUAAAUAAAUUAAUUAAUUAAAAACGCAUCUUUGGUGAUCACAUGAUCGUGUUGUCUAAACUCGCAAUAAAUGUUCUUCCUUGAGCUGCGUCACCCCGCUGCAGUCGAUUGACUCGCCCGGAGGUUUCCGUACAAACAAGCGAGUGCUAGGAGAGAGUGGGUGAGUUGUGUUUAGUCUCUUUGCUAAAGAAAUCAAGCAAAGCUAAAAAGAUGUUUGGUGGCUAGUGCUGUGGCUGGGGCCCUAUAUGUACUGUUGAUGAAUAGGUGCUGUUCUGGGCGUUAUUUGUGGCUAGAGUAGCUUUUUGGUUGAGCAUGUGGCUCUCUGUAUUGCUAUCUGCGGUCGUUACUAAGGUUGGUAUAACUUGAUAAGCAAGCGGUCGGCAACAUUCAUCUCUCAAUGGGGUGUCUAACUCGGUGUUCCGGUGUGUUUGACCCUAACUUAAUUUUAUGCCGGAAGACCCCUGUAAUGCAGUUUACAACAGCCCAGCCAAACAUUAUGAACACCGGAGCAGUCUAAUACUCCAUACCACAGAAAAUAUUUAAGGAUUUUAUAUUUAAAUUACUGUGGCACCUGUUGAAAAAACUAUGGCAAAAUGUAUUGAGUGUUAAAUGCAAACAGCUCAUGCUAACAAGUAGCUGUUCGGUUGCUAUGGCUAACAUUAAACCAGCACACAUAGCACAGACAAGAGUAGCUAUAUUUAAAAUCAAGAUGCUAACAUACUGUUUAAAUCCAGCUCGGCAUGAUGGUCCUCUCCACCACCAUCCUCCUAUUUGUCCGAGUUAUUCUCCUUUUGUCACUUAAGGGUAGUCCUCAGUAGGCUAGCUUACUUUAAGCUGCCCUCAACAGCCUGUGAAUGUUGACUGAGAUAGUCCAGUUUACCUCCUAGUUUUACAAACCAAUAAGAAUAAACUUCUAGGAUAGCCACCAGCGACUUUACUAACUGAUGAGUUGGCUACACUGGUGAAUACACAGAUUGCAGGUUGGUCAAGGAAAUGCAGACUUCAACUAAAGAAUGCCCACCUGAAUGAUCUCGAAAGAUACCUGACAUUGUCCAAAGCCUACUUUACAGAUAGUUAAGUUAGGUCUUUCUAUUUCUUGGUCUUGUGUAUGAACGUACACUCAGCACCUGUUUAGACACGCUGCGAACACGGCAGAAAUGUACAAGGAAAUUCCACUACAAACACGGUAUCCUUCCAUAAAUGGGAUAUCGCCCAUAAAAAUGGACCCCAGAAAAAUAGCGAAUUGAAGCUUGUCUUGUGUCUCAAUUAUUCUAGUUAUAAAGAGAACAUGCAAACCAUUUUAUGCAAUGAGACAAAACAAAUAUACUUCUCAGAGAACAUGUCUUAUUUCCUACUACCCACAAACUACGCAGUACAGUUUUGUGCUUCACAGUUAGUGAAGAUGACAUUAAUUGAGUGAAAAUAAUAGGAGAUGCGUAGAUUUGACAGCAUUUGUCAGACCAAGACAGUAUUUGUUAGAGUUAUUCAUCUUCAGAUAGAAAAAGCUGAAAUCUAUCCAUAGACAGCACUUGAUUUCAUGUUUCCACACUUGACAGUGAUCUAAGAUAGUCUUAUCUGUUGUGAAAAUACAUGUCAAAUGAUAAUUAAAGCAGUGCAGUUAUUAUUGUACUCACACUCGUCAGAGACACAAACUUCUCUUCCAAAAUUGCAUAUUGUCUUUAAAGCCAUUAUUUUAGAUGUGUUUUGUUUUGUAGAGGAUUCAGAGUUAAAGGUAUUUAACGCUACAAGUCCUCUGGGGCAAGACAUAACUCUGACACUUCAUGACAAGUACACUGUACAAAGAUGUAAAGACCCCUAAUUUAAACAGAGUUUUGAUUGUGUUGGAAAAAGCAGCACUCACAAGCUCUCAACUUUAAUUCAUAUAACCAGCCCCAAGACACCUCAGUCUGUACCGCCUUGACAUCAACAAACUGAAGCAACACUUUGCUUGCAGCCUGAGUUAAAACAUUUACUAGCCCAGUAUCAAGACCAACCCUCACUUUCCUGACCUUAAAAGUGUAGCCUCACAGCUUAAAAAAUAAGUGCUUCACCAUCAGCUAUCUUUCCCAGGGCAAAGUCUUUCUUUGUGUAAAAUCUCACUGCAACUCACCCUGGUCUGUAUCAGUUGGUAUCCAAGUAAACCAAACUGGCAAACAAAGACCCAUCACCUAGCUUCCAUGUUUACCCUCUGUUAAAUAACAUGACUUGAGGCCGUGUACCACUUGUUAUCUAAAGUCACUGAUAUGUUUUUAUAUUUACAGCCCUGUUAUGAAUCAUAUGACAUUACAUCAUGUCCAUGUCAAAGGGAAAUUGAUUUUCACAGUCUGUGUGCUUCAUAAUGUUUAUUAGGGAAGAUGUCAAACUAAAACAAAGCCCAAAUUAAAGCAUUGUUAUUAGAUGAACCCCUUUCAAAGACUGAUGGCUGCUCAACAUAGUCAGUUUUUGUGAGGUCCUUGUUAGACACUGCAAUGAUUAAAACCAUUUACUGGAUUUUUUUUUAAUGCAAUAUACAUGUAUCUCUCUUUCUCCUUCAAAGUAGGCUCAUUUGUAUUUUGAGAUUAUAGAGCGCAAAUAUUAUUGAUUUUGUCCUCUUAACUAUAACAAUUAAGUUUGUAAAUAACUGGCUAUCAUUAAUCUAUUGACAACCCCCAAGUAAACAAUCAGCUUAACAGUCAAAAACUUUAUAAUAUUACCAGGUCAAGGACAAAUAAAGUUGACCAAAUCAGGCCUGUGAAGCCCCUCAGUAGUUUGGAAGUCGAUUGUGUAAGUGGAUCAGAGUAAGUAGGACAGCGAAAAUGACAUAGAAAGGCCUAGAUGUGUCUCAUUACCUCUCCCUCUCAGGGACCCUGGUCAAGUACCAGGCGGUGUAAAUAGACGAAGCAGACAGGUUAAGGACAGUAAACAUAUCAAAGGGCCUGUGUCAUUUUUUAUCCAUUUGAAACAAUCUAACAACAAACAAAAAUAAUCCUGAAAACUCAAUAAUUGAGUGAUAUUUUACAAAUAAUGUCUAUUUAGAUAAAUAAAAACACACUUGAGUCAAUCUAAAGACUGUUAUUUGUGGUUGUGUCUCCUAUAGGUAAUUUUUGGAUAAAAGUAUUCAAUGUAUUAAAUCAGUAACUUGUUUAAUCCGUCUGUCAAAGUAAUAAUAUGUCUUAAUCAAUUGCCCUGUGGGGAUAAAUAAAGUCCUUUUAUUGCAUUGUGUGCAUGUGUCUCGGAACUUGAUGGAAUAUUCUUUGACUUUGUCUUCACUUCAUUUCACAUGUACAGGGUCUAAGAUCUAAUGAUGGCUGGCUUUGGACUCAAGGAGCCACACGGAGCUGCAUCUGAAUCAAACAAACAGGGACAGCCUCUAUCAACCUAUGUGUCCAAAUAAAAGCAUCUUUGACAUGAAAGGCAGGAUCUCCAUGGUUUCCCCCUGGAGCUGGGCCUCGUUGCCAUGGGAGUGGAAGGCGCUACUGGAGGAGGAAAAACACAGAGAGUAUCUUCUUUCCAUGUACGGAACCUAUUCAUGCACACUUUAUUUUGCCUUUCGUCUCUGCACAUAGUCAUUGAGAAGCUAAUAAUACAUUCAGAUUAGUUUGAAGUUAUUUUAUUAUUUUAUUGAUCUUACCAGCUGCUUGUGUUUGUUAAAAUGACCUGAAGUUAGUAAAACAAAUCAGGCUGUACUUGAAUGUGCCCAAGCAUAUGACGUGUCCUUUAGCACACUGAUUGCCUAAUUGUUUAAUGGCUAUUCAAAUAAUGUUGUGCAGGCCCUGUUCUGAUUGUCCUAAUGCAUUUAACCAUCCCAACAGCAUGUGCCUGUCCAGGAGUGUGAUCAGACCCUAGGGGCAACAGAGAAAUUAACACAAACAACUGACGUGUUACACAAGGCCUCCCGGUGAGUUAUUAUUAGCCUUGAUUUUAUAAUGACAUGCUGUGGAGAUAGCAGUUACCAAAACAGCCAUGCUACUGAGUAGAUGCUCAGCAGAAGAAGAACAAACACAGUGGUUCUGUGCAUAUAAGUCUGAUCUGAUUUUAGGAAGUCCAAUCUACAUCAGUGAGCUUGUUAUGUACUGAACAGGUCACGCUUGGGCUCAGCUCCAUACAGUUCCUGGGGUGACUGAGUGGGUGGUAUAACACAGGGCAGGUGUGUAGGCUAAGUGAUGAGUCUGCUACGUGCAGAUGCAGCAUGGCUUGUUCUUGGCCCUACAAACGGUGGAUAUCUUUACAGAUAAGAGCAUGCAAGGCGGUUACAUCAAGUUUAUUAGGUACUGUUGUCAAAUAGAUGUUGUAACUGACGACACAAAGGCAGCAGUUGUGGAUGGUGAGACACAUGAAAUUCAAAAUAAAGUGGGGUUUAGAUGUAGUUGAAUUAAAUAUUUGGAGAAAUGUCCUUUUUUCCAGAUUUUCACAAAAUCUCAACAAAAUAUACCCUCACAAGUAAAGACAAAUCACAUCACAUUGUGAGAUAAAUACUUUUAUAAGAAACAUAAGUAUUUCUGUGUGUUUUUUCUCUCAAUAUUUUGUCUAAAUACUUCAGACUGUUGACAGUUUUGUGCAUCAUGAGACAUCACCUGGUUGUGUGUGAGUCACUGCGUGUCUGUGUCACACGGCUCUGUUUUAUUUAAGUCAUGUGACAUCACCCCAUGUAAUGACGCAGCUUAAAUACAGCAUACAGCCUGCUCGUAACUUCAUCUAAUCUGGCGCAAAAUGAACAGCAAAGGCAGUGUUUGCUGAUUGCAGAGCUGAGUGGAGCUGUGAGCACUGAUGUCAUUGCUUUAAAAAAAAAAAAAAA